RNAcentral lists this ribosomal RNA (301 nucleotides) under uncultured bacterium. RNAcentral's name for it is "partial 16S ribosomal RNA". It matches the Rfam family "Bacterial small subunit ribosomal RNA", at positions 509 to 807 of the family's 1533-position model. The record is from RNAcentral.
CAGUAGCCACGGUAAUACAGAGGGUGCAAGCGUUAAUCGGAAUUACUGGGCGUAAAGCGUGCGUAGGUGGUGGUUUAAGUCCGUUGUGAAAGCCCUGGGCUCAACCUGGGAAUUGCAGUGGAUACUGGGUCACUAGAGUGUGGUAGAGGAUAGUGGAAUUUCCGGUGUAGCAGUGAAAUGCGUAGAGAUCGGAAGGAACAUCUGUGGCGAAGGCGACUAUCUGGGCCAACACUGACACUGAGGCACGAAAGCGUGGGGAGCAAACAGGAUUAGAUACCCCAGUAGUCCCUGUCUCUUAUAC